ACUUAAAUAGUUUAAAAAAAAAUAUUGAUUUGUGAUGUCAAAGUUAUGAGAAGUUCAUUUUUAGUU
This 66-nucleotide transfer RNA is filed under the name Telchinia pharsalus. RNAcentral describes it as "Acraea pharsalus tRNA-His". The record is from RNAcentral. Lineage: Eukaryota; Metazoa; Arthropoda; Insecta; Lepidoptera; Nymphalidae.